Molecule: long non-coding RNA, 538 nt
Organism: Prinia subflava (tawny-flanked prinia)
Lineage: Eukaryota; Metazoa; Chordata; Aves; Passeriformes; Cisticolidae
Exons: 3
Source: RefSeq, a predicted model, not a curated record
UUAAUGAGCACAGGCACAGGAGACACAGGACCGGAGUGCAGAUGUGCGGAGCUCACGGAAGGUGUGGCCCGUGCCUUCCACAUGCAUAUUUAAAUCCUUCAAUUACACGGCCUUAAGGCUGCUAUUAGAGAGCGACCUCGCAGAGAGGAAGAAUUGCACGGAGAAAUGAGGCCUGACACAUUUCUUCAAACAGAGAGCUGAGAAGAAGAGAAGGAAAAGCCCGGGUUACUCACGAUUCUUUUCACCUCUCCACCUUGACCCCGCUUUUAUUCUAGGCGCGAUGUCCACGGCAGCAGAUAAGUCUAUUAGCCCAAGCAGCAGCAGCAGUGACAGCACAGCCAUGCCAGGGAAAUCAACACAAAUGAUACCACCUCCCACUCGGGUUUCUGUCAGCAGAUGCUGCAUAAAUGGAGCAGUGCAUCGGCGCUAACCAAGCCUGCUCAGAAGUGAGGUGUUGCCUGGAAGAGGUGCAAAGGAGAAGGUAGCUGAGCUGAGAACUGUGCCAACCCUAGUGAACAACUGAUGGUGAGAAAGCCAG